GAUGAACGCUGGCGGCGUGCUUAACACAUGCAAGUCGAACGAUGAAGCCCAGCUUGCUGGGUGGAUUAGUGGCGAACGGGUGAGUAACACGUGAGUAACCUGCCCUUAACUCUGGGAUAAGCCUGGGAAACUGGGGCUAAUACCGGAUAGGAGCGUCCACCGCAUGGUGGGUGUUGGAAAGAUUUAUCGGUUUUGGAUGGACUCGCGGCCUAUCAGCUUGUUGGUGAGGUAAUGGCUCCCCAAGGCGACGACGGGUAGCCGGCCUGAGAGGGGGACCGGCCACACUGGGACUGCUACGCGUCCCCGACUCCUACGGGAGGCAGCAGUGGGGAAUAUUGCACUAUGGGCGCAAGCCUGAUGCAGCGACGCCGCGUGUGGGAUGACGGCCUUCGGUUUGUAAGCCUCUUUCAGUAGGGAAGAAGCGAUAGUGACGGUACCUGCAGAAGAAGCACCGGCUAACUACGUG
This 466-nucleotide ribosomal RNA is filed under the name uncultured bacterium. RNAcentral's name for it is "partial 16S ribosomal RNA". It matches the Rfam family "Bacterial small subunit ribosomal RNA", at positions 28 to 507 of the family's 1533-position model. The record is from RNAcentral.